GGCUAAUUUCUGGCUUGCCCAUUCCAAGCUGGGAGUUGAGCCACGUGAUCCGAGCGAAGGCCUGGACCUCAUGGGUUCCUAGAGCUUAGGGUACCGCGUGAGGCUGGCUUCACAGAGCCAGCGAUCCCCUCUCCCUCCUGGCAGUGGAAGGAUAACAGGUCGGUAUU
RNAcentral lists this signal recognition particle RNA (167 nucleotides) under Manihot esculenta (cassava). Its description in RNAcentral is "Plant signal recognition particle RNA". It matches the Rfam family "Plant signal recognition particle RNA", at positions 90 to 254 of the family's 305-position model. Lineage: Eukaryota; Viridiplantae; Streptophyta; Magnoliopsida; Malpighiales; Euphorbiaceae. The record is from Rfam by way of RNAcentral.